UACGCCGGCAACGGUGAAACUCAAAGGAAUUGACGGGGGCCCGCACAAGCGGAGGAACAUGUGGUUUAAUUCGAUGAUACGCGAGGAACCUUACCCGGGCUUAAAUUGCAACCGAAUAUGGCGGAAACGCCAUAGCUAGCAAUAGCGGUUGUGAAGGUGCUGCAUGGUUGUCGUCAGCUCGUGCCGUGAGGUGUCGGCUUAAGUGCCAUAACGAGCGCAACCCUUGCCGAUAGUUACUAACAGGUUAUGCUGAGGACUCUGUCGGGACUGCCAUCGUAAGAUGUGAGGAAGGUGGGGAUGACGUCAAAUCAGCACGGCCCUUACGUCCGGGGCUACACACGUGUUACAAUGGGGGGUACAGAGGGCUGCUACCACGCAAGUGGAUGCCAAUCCCAAAAACCUCUCUCAGUUCGGAUUGAAGUCUGCAACCCGACUUCAUGAAGCUGGAUUCGCUAGUAAUCGCGCAUCAGCCACGGCGCGGUGAAUACGUUCCCGGGCCUUGUACACACCGCCCGUCAAGCCAUGGGAGCCGGGGGUACCUGAAGUGCGUAACCGCAAGGAGCGCCCUAGGGUAAAACUGGUGACUGGGGCUAAGUCGUAACAAGGUAGCCGU
This 613-nucleotide ribosomal RNA is filed under the name uncultured bacterium. RNAcentral's name for it is "bacterial SSU rRNA". It matches the Rfam family "Bacterial small subunit ribosomal RNA", at positions 881 to 1503 of the family's 1533-position model. The record is from RNAcentral.